Molecule: long non-coding RNA, 209 nt
Filed under: Homo sapiens (human)
Lineage: Eukaryota; Metazoa; Chordata; Mammalia; Primates; Hominidae
Description: LHRI_LNC1712.1
Source: RNAcentral
CUUCACUACCAAAAUCAAACACCAGUACCUGGGAGAAAUGGCACAAAAGAAUUUGUUAACUUCAAGAACAUGCAACAGUUGAAUCAGGUGCAACAGGGUCUCUUGUUGACAGUGAGUCAAACGGAGGAAGACAGAAAUCCUAACGGGGCGACCAACACAGACACAAAAAGGCCAGGAGAUCUCAGCUGGCACUGCCCCACCGAGCCAGC